Molecule: ribosomal RNA, 560 nt
Filed under: uncultured bacterium
Lineage: Bacteria
Description: bacterial SSU rRNA
Rfam family: Bacterial small subunit ribosomal RNA
Source: RNAcentral
UGCAAGUCGAACGAGGUUAUACAGUAACACCGUAUGACCUAGUGGCAGACGGGUGAGUAAUAUUUAGGAAACUUGCCUUAAAGUGGGGAAUACCCCCGAGAAAUCGGGGCUAAUACCCCAUAAGACCACAACCCGGCAUCGGGAAGGGGUUAAAGACGUAAGUCGCUUUAAGAUAGUCCUGAAUCCUAUCAGCUAGUUGGUGAGGUAACGGCCCACCAAGGCUAAGACGGGUAUCCGGCCUGAAAGGGUGAUCGGACACACUGGAACUGAGACACGGUCCAGACUCCUACGGGAGGCAGCAGUGAGGAAUUUUGGACAAUGGGCGAAAGCCUGAUCCAGCGACGCCGCGUGAAGGAUGAAGGCCUUCGGGUCGUAAACUUCUUUUAGAGGGGACGAAACAAAUGACGGUACCCUCGGAAUAAGCCACGGCUAACUACGUGCCAGCAGCCGCGGUAAUACGUAGGUGGCGAGCGUUACUCGGAAUUACUAGGCGUAAAGCGCAUGUAGGUGGUCGAAUAAGUCCAUGGUUAAAUCUCCCGGCUUAACUGGGAACUGUCCAU